This 253-nucleotide ribosomal RNA is filed under the name uncultured bacterium. RNAcentral's name for it is "partial 16S ribosomal RNA". It matches the Rfam family "Bacterial small subunit ribosomal RNA", at positions 524 to 777 of the family's 1533-position model. The record is from RNAcentral.
UACGAAGGGGGCUAGCGUUGCUCGGAAUUACUGGGCGUAAAGCGCACGUAAGCGGCUUUCUAAGUCGGGGUGAAAUCCUGGAGCUCAACUCCAGAACUGCCUUCGAUACUGGAAAGCUCGAGUCCGGGAGAGGUGAGUGGAACUGCGAGUGUAGAGGUGAAAUUCGUAGAUAUUCGCAAGAACACCAGUGGCGAAGGCGGCUCACUGGCCCGGUACUGACGCUGAGGUGCGAAAGCGUGGGGAGCAAACAGGG